This 266-nucleotide ribosomal RNA is filed under the name Salmonella enterica subsp. enterica serovar Havana. Its description in RNAcentral is "partial 23S ribosomal RNA". It matches the Rfam family "Bacterial large subunit ribosomal RNA", at positions 205 to 509 of the family's 2925-position model. The record is from RNAcentral. Lineage: Bacteria; Pseudomonadati; Pseudomonadota; Gammaproteobacteria; Enterobacterales; Enterobacteriaceae.
AGUACCCCGAGGAAAAGAAAUCAACCGAGAUUCCCCCAGUAGCGGCGAGCGAACGGGGAGGAGCCCAGAGCCUGAAUCAGCAUGUGUGUUAGUGGAAGCGUCUGGAAAGGCGCGCGAUACAGGGUGACAGCCCCGUACACAAAAGCGCAUGUGCUGUGAGCUCGAUGAGUAGGGCGGGACACGUGGUAUCCUGUCUGAAUAUGGGGGGACCAUCCUCCAAGGCUAAAUACUCCUGACUGACCGAUAGUGAACCAGUACCGUGAGGG